RNAcentral lists this ribosomal RNA (773 nucleotides) under uncultured archaeon. RNAcentral describes it as "bacterial SSU rRNA". It matches the Rfam family "Archaeal small subunit ribosomal RNA", at positions 1 to 782 of the family's 1478-position model. The record is from RNAcentral.
UUCCGGUUGAUCCUGCCGGACCUGACUGCUAUCGGAUUGGUACUAAGCCAUGCGAGUCAUUGUAGCAAUACAAGGCGGACGGCUCAGUAACACGUAGUCAACCUAACUCGUGGACGUGGAUAACCUCGGGAAACUGAGAAUAAACCACGAUAGAUCAUAGUGCCUGGAAUGGCUUAUGGUCCAAACAGUUUACUGCCAUGGGAUGGGACUGCGGCCUAUCAGCUUGUUGGUGAGGUAAUGGCCCACCAAGGCGAUUACAGGUACGGGCUCUGAGAGGAGAAGCCCGGAGAUGGGUACUGAGACACGGACCCAGGCCCUAUGGGGCGCAGCAGGCGAGAAACCUUAGCAAUGUGCGAAAGCACGACUGGGUCAGUCCGAGUGAUUCCUGAUAAAGGAGUCUUUUGCUUGUCCUAAAAGCACAGGUGAAUAAGGGGUGGGCAAGUCUGGUGUCAGCCGCCGCGGUAAUACCAGCACCUCAAGUGGUCAGGACGUUUAUUGGGCCUAAAGCAUCCGUAGCCGGCUCUGCAAGUCUUCGGUUAAAUCCACCUGCUCAACAGAUGGGCUGCUGGAGAUACUACAGAGCUAGGGAGUGGGAGAGGCAGACGGUAUUCAGUGGGUAGGGGUAAAAUCCUCUGAUCCAUUGAGGACCACCAGUGGCGAAGGCGGUCUGCCAGAACACGUUCGACGGUGAGGGAUGAAAGCUGGGGGAGCAAACCGGAUUAGAUACCCGGGUAGUCCCAGCUGUAAACGAUGCUAGCUAGAUGAUUCAUUCG